RNAcentral lists this ribosomal RNA (245 nucleotides) under uncultured bacterium. Its description in RNAcentral is "partial 16S ribosomal RNA". It matches the Rfam family "Bacterial small subunit ribosomal RNA", at positions 524 to 768 of the family's 1533-position model. The record is from RNAcentral.
UACGUAAGGGGCGAGCGUUGCUCGGAAUUACUGGGCGUAAAGGGCUUGUAGGCGGCCAUAUAAGUCGAAUGUAAAAAACCGGGGCUCAACCCCGGAGCUGCGUUCGAAACUGUGCGGCUUGAGUCUGGUGGAGGGUGAUGGAAUUCCCGGUGUAGCGGUGAAAUGCGUAGAUAUCGGGAAGAACACCGAAGGCUAAAGCAGUCAUCCAUGCCAAGACUGACGCUGAGGAGCGAAAGCAUGGGUAU